Molecule: long non-coding RNA, 258 nt
Filed under: Hordeum vulgare
Lineage: Eukaryota; Viridiplantae; Streptophyta; Magnoliopsida; Poales; Poaceae
Description: long non-coding RNA (HVUL_LNC002860)
Source: RNAcentral
UUGGACGUGCUAUAUUUUGCUAUUUCGACAGUGCAAACCGUUUUUAGGCGGUUGGGCGUGGAGAUGCUGUGAGCCUGUGAGUGUGAGUGAGUGUGUGAGGACUUUUCAUAGCGUUGCACCGAGCGUAGGCUACGCCUCCGCCGACCCACACGCACGCGGGUCAGAGUGUCCGGAGACAGGAACACGCGCCUGCGCUGCCAGCCACCGCAAUGGCGAUGCCGCCCAAGCCCGGCGAGCCGCCGAAGCCCUCGCCNNNNN